UACGGAGGAUGCAAGCGUUAUCCGGAAUUAUUGGGCGUAAAGCGUCCGCAGGUGGUUAUCCAAGUCUGCUGUUAAAGCGCGAGGCUUAACUUCGUACAGGCAGUGGAAACUGGGUGACUGGAGUAUGGUAGGGGUAGCGGGAAUUCCCAGUGUAGCGGUGAAAUGCGUAGAUAUUGGGAAGAACACCAGCGGCGAAAGCGCGCUACUGGGCCAUUACUGACACUCAUGGACGAAGGCUAGGGGAGCGAAAGGG
This 253-nucleotide ribosomal RNA is filed under the name uncultured bacterium. Its description in RNAcentral is "partial 16S ribosomal RNA". It matches the Rfam family "Bacterial small subunit ribosomal RNA", at positions 524 to 776 of the family's 1533-position model. The record is from RNAcentral.